CUGGCACAUUGUCAGCUGAACGAUUUACACUGCGAAGUGCCUGGAAAAGAAUUAAGCAUAUUAAAAUCAGCCUUUUUCAGGGAUUAUGAUUUUGUUUUUAAGUCUUUGUGACAUAAAGUGUGUAAAUGGAACUGCAUCCAGUAAAACACAAUAAUUUAUUCUAGAAAUUAGCAAGCCCACGUUCCACCUAUAAAACCAUUCUCUGUGAUGUGCGACUGGCCUUCAUUUUCAGUGGCCUUGAUUUAUAGUUAGAAUUUGUUUUAUUUUCAAGGGGUAGAGACUGGGAAGCAGCCGGACAGAGCUAUUAAAGCUGUUGCGCACAGCAAUUUUUCAGGGGUUUAUUAAUUCUUACAGAGAAUAAGCCAAUGAACUGAACAUUUUUCAGUGUAAGAACACCUUCCCUAAAUGGAAGGCUUUUUGAUGAAUAGAUAUAGACAGCACAAAACAAAACAUAUGGGUGUUUGUUGUGUGAAUUUAACCAUUUGUGUUUAGUUUCAUUCUCAGUUGCAAAGCCAUCUCAGAACAAGGGCUCACGGUUAGCAAUCAUAUAAGCCCACUGAUGAUUGUGAUUUCGGUCCGAGGUUUUCCUCGAUGCUCUCACUGAUGCCUUAUCUAUGCAAGUUAAAACCCUCAGCUUGUUUCACAGAACAAAAGACUGUUGGACCUACUUAAUUCCAGCGACCAGGUGUGUGAUGAUCAUCAUGUCUCAGAGCUACGCACCUUUUUCCCUCGGUGUGAAACACACAGCAGUCUUUUUAUUCCUUGGUGCCAAACAGCUCGAGAGAGAGAGAGACCAAGACUUGGAAUUCCUGGAAAAAUCAAAUCUAAAUGUCAGAACCUGUGGUCUUUAACUUCCCAGCUCAUACAGAGGUAGCGGCAAUACUCCUGUGUGCAGCCACAUCCCUUUGUGCCCUGUCAAAACCUUCUUAGCAAAAAUGCCCUGUUCUGUUGAGGUACUUUAUUAGGGCUUUAUCUUGAGACCACCAGCAACACAGAAUGAAAUGGUAACAAAAUUAAUGUGUUUUAUUUGUUAGUUUUGCUUUCCUCUCUUAAAGCUUUUACUUUUUUCUUCCCCCCCACCCCCUUUUUUCUUUUUUAGCAAUAUGGGGUUUCUUUUCCCAGUCCAGAGAAAUCUCGUUCAUGUACACAUCAAAACAUUUGAUGGAAUAAAAAAGUUAUGUGCAAGAUUCA
RNAcentral lists this long non-coding RNA (1191 nucleotides) under Coturnix japonica (Japanese quail). Its description in RNAcentral is "lncRNA (ENSCJPG00005007610.1)". The record is from RNAcentral. Lineage: Eukaryota; Metazoa; Chordata; Aves; Galliformes; Phasianidae.